CUAGCCGUAAACGAUGGGCACUAAGUAGGGGAGGUUCUGACACCUUCUCUACCGGAGCUAAUGUAUUAAGUGCCCCGCCUGGGGAGUAUGAUCGCAAGGUUAAAACUCAAAGGAAUUGACGGGGGCUCACACAAGCGGUGGAGCAUGUGGUUCAAUUCGAAGCAACGCGCAGAACCUUACCUGGGCUUGACAUGCUUAGUGUAGUCUGAUGAAAGUCGGAUGAACCGGGUAACCGGAAACUUUGCACAGGUGC
This 253-nucleotide ribosomal RNA is filed under the name uncultured bacterium. RNAcentral's name for it is "partial 16S ribosomal RNA". It matches the Rfam family "Bacterial small subunit ribosomal RNA", at positions 796 to 1041 of the family's 1533-position model. The record is from RNAcentral.